Non-coding RNA from Drosophila persimilis, 76 nucleotides. The record is from Rfam. NCBI's taxonomy places the organism in Eukaryota, Metazoa, Arthropoda, Insecta, Diptera, Drosophilidae.
UUUGAUGUGAUGAUAAACUAUGAUAGGGACAUCUGAUGUCCAUGACUGAUUUAUCUUGAUAGUAGAACUGAUUACU